AACCCUUAGAAACCAUCAAAACCUUGAAAUCUGCUCUGAAUACACUCACAUUCCAUGGACACUGACAGCACAGGACAAUGAUCAGGAACACAGACUCUGAUGCCCAGCUGACUGGGGUCCAUCCUGGCUCCAAUAUCCGUCCAUCUGCCAACUUUAUAAUCUUGGGGACACUCAAGUAACUUUUUGUUACGCACAUAGGUCUGCAACAAUCACUGUGGUCAGAAGGAUGUGAUAAACGGAUUGGCUCAAACCAGCACGGACCACAUAUUCUACAACAGAUGUGUGACGGACUCAGCUCUGCACUUACGCACCUCCAAGCCUUGAUUAUCAGAUCAUGUCCUUCUUCCCUAAUGUUUAAUUUCUC
This 364-nucleotide long non-coding RNA is filed under the name Homo sapiens (human). Its description in RNAcentral is "non-protein coding lnc-DMTF1-2:1". Lineage: Eukaryota; Metazoa; Chordata; Mammalia; Primates; Hominidae. The record is from RNAcentral.